RNAcentral lists this long non-coding RNA (16409 nucleotides) under Medicago truncatula (barrel medic). RNAcentral's name for it is "long non-coding RNA (MTRU_LNC000181)". The record is from RNAcentral. Lineage: Eukaryota; Viridiplantae; Streptophyta; Magnoliopsida; Fabales; Fabaceae.
GGUUGUUUUUCCAAUAAUAUUUGAUGCUAAGGAACCUUUAAACCAAUUAGAAUAUCUUUAGAGUCCCUUUUAAAGUGAUAAGUAUAUUUGCAAAUCUGGAGCACAUAUAUCACGAUUUUCUAUCGUUAUUUGCAUGGAUAUAACACAUAUAUUUUGCUCUUAACAUAGCCAUACAUUGUGAAUGUAAUUGAUAAUGUAAAUGAUGUUUUUGGAGGUAAACAAGAAAGAUGCUAAACCUCAAAGCAAAAACAACCGUGUUUCGAUUUGUGAACUUGACAAAUAUUAUACGCAAAGAUAUAUUGUUUUUUUCUUAACAGCAAAUUUUAUUUAUAAGCUAACCCAACACAAGAAGUGAAGAGGCUAUAGGAAACAUACGAGAUGAAAGAUACAUAAAGACAAUUAAACCAAGGCUAAAAAGCCACAACAUAAAACCACCAAAACAACCCUUAAUACAAUAGAAAACAAUUACUUAGUAGAUAUUGAUAUGUCUUGUUGCAUUGAUGUUUCAGAAAUGUGUGGGUGGAGGGCAAUUUUUGUAUCGGUACUUCCCGAGUCGCUCCGAGCAGGGAUCGAAUGGGGUGGUCGGUUUUGGGGGCUUUAUUUUUCCGAUAAUUCUUCCAAUUCCGGGGGUCAAGGUAAAAGCAUCAGCAGAAUGAUGAUGAGCAAGCAUAAGAGCAGCAAGGAAUACCACUAGCAAGGAUAAGAAAAAGGAAUUAGCCACUUUAAGAAGUGAUAUUAUUAUUAGUGUUGGUGCAUAAUACAUAGAGAGUUAACUGGUUUUAUACUAGUUAGAGACUCAAUGUGAGUUUAUGGUCAAUCUAAGUCAUUUACUAAAUUCAAGAAUGUUACACUCAUAGGUACCAUGUAUUUGCUACUUGUUGAUGAUCAGUACCUAUCCUUUCAUUUUCCACACAACAAGACCAUUUAGUAUUAUUGGCUCUAUCUCUCCACUUGUUUGCACACCAAUACGAGGUUUUUUUUUAAAGGAGAAUCAACCAUUUGGAUAAUACAAUAUCCUUAUUUUAUUUAUUUGAAUUUGAAUGGCAACCACCAAGGCCACAUAUAGAAAGAAUAAUUUCCUUAAAAAAAAAGAAUAAUUUCCGACCAAUCGUACAUGAUGUCAUCGACACAACAAAAGAUAGGUUUCAUAAUAUGGCGCCAUAAUAUCCUUAUCCUUGUAAAUAUGAUUAAAAAAAACCUUGUUAAUUAAGUUGUAGGAUUUUUUUAAGUUGGAAAAUAUUAACGAGUAUCUUCAGAACAUUCUUUAAACAUUCAAAGGGGUAAGAUUUUAUGAAAGUUGAGGAUUUAUUUCAUUAGAAAUUGAAGUCUUUACAUUUCUUUUAAAGAAUAGAUUUUUCAUUAUGAUGUUUAAAGAGUGUUCCGGAGACACUUGUUAACAAAACUCUUUAAAGUUUUAGGAUGUAAGAAUUUCCCUAAAACACAUGUUAAAGAUAUGGAUGUCAAUGGGUACGGGUAGCAUGAUAUCCGUCUCUAUACCGUUGGAUAUGGUACUUGUACCUAUACUCAUACUCUUGUAGGUAUCUCUAUACGAGUAAUCCAUGGGUAUUUAAUUAAUUAUUUUUAUCCAAUGGGACCAAAACUACAAAAGGGGUUAAACAUAAGGCGGCUCUAUUGUUAUUGUUUUUAUUAGGGGAUAAAAAUCGCAACAUUUGGAACUUAGAGUGCCAAAACUGUAAUUAAACCUAAACUUUAUAGACAUAAUAUAUUUGAUAAUAACUUUUAAUCGGUCAACCCAAAAAAAAACUUCUAAUUAGUCGGUAUAAUUUUAUCUCUAUACUGAAUAUACUUUAUUCAUUAUUCUCGCCAUAUACUAUUUAAUUAUUAAUCUAUGACAAUAACCACGUACAAAGACUUUAUCUAACAAAGGAAAUCAAUCUUAGAAGAUUCAAUCAUGUGGACAAUACAACAUCCUUAUUGUAUUUGUUACAAAAUGCUUAUGACCGUAUUAUACACAAGAUAUAUAAAACAAAGCAUUAGUAACUUGGACCACUUAUUGGAUAUUUCUUUCUCCACAAUCCAUAUUAUUAUUAAUUACUUUGAUUUUUAUCAAACCAAUCUGAUAACACCACCCUCCCUUUUGCUUAAAAUAUAGUGGUAUUUCAGAUGAGGUGACACGUACACACGGACACCAUGGUUUAAUUUCUUUUGUUUCUUUGUCUACGUUUUCCUUUUUUUUAAUAAUAUUGUUUGCUCUGUGCCUAUAAUUUCAGGUAUGGAUCCUCCCUUACUUAAUUUGAGAAAAAAAUGUUAUUUUUGUGUGACUAAUUUUGAGAAAAAUAACGAAGGCAAAGGGGUGGUCCAGAUUCUCCAAUUUGUUUUGUAUCUGUACAUAUGAAUGUAAUUUAUUUUGUUGAAAUUUGGAAAAUUUCGAAUUUCUUAAAUUUAGAUAGUGUAUAUAGAACCCUAUAAUUUUAAAUUUAAGUCUUAAUCAACAUAUAUCCAAAUAAAAUGUCCAACUCAAUUGUAAUUAAUGUAUAUAUAUUUUUUUAAUAUUCUAUGUUGAAAUAUUUUGAGAAUUAACAUAACAUUAGAAAUAUUGAACCGAAAGACUUAAAAAUUGUAAGCGGAAUAGAACACAUUCACAUUUAUUGUAUAUGUACAAAGUCAAUUUAAUUAUUUUCUCUCUAUCUUCAAAAAAAAAUAGACAAUUAGGUUAUGAAAUAACAAAAAAAGACAACCAUGCCCCUUACAAUAAUAUAUACUUUAUUUGAUAAAAAUAACGGAUAACUAGCAAAUCAUGUUGUAAAAUUUAUUAUUUAGAUUAAAGAAAUGCAUUUUUAAUUUUCAUUUACAAUUUUAAGGGUAAAUAUUGCUUUACCCGGUAUAAUAUAGGUCAUUUUUGGGUUUUCCCUUUGCUAUGUUUUUUUUUUUUUUGUUUUCGUCCUUGUAAUUUUUGUUUUUUAGAAUAUCCCUCUAAUAGGCCAUUUUCAUAAAUUUUUUGUCAUUGUGCUUUAACCCAUUUCUUUCGAUGAAACGGUUGUAACAUCUCACAAACAAGCUUAUCUUUUCUUCAUUGAUAGAACCUUCAUCGGAUUCAUCUUCAUUUUGAAUAGAAGAGGUGGGCAUGGACGAAGUGGUGUUUAACGUAAUUGACUUCCUUUCCUUCUUCUUUGAAUCAUCCUCACUAGAUUUCAACUGGAUAAUUUCAUGCUCAUGUUCCUUUAGUUUACCAAAGAGUGUGAUCAUACUAAGAACAUUGAGAUUUUGUGAUUCCUUGAUAGCGGUAACCUUGGGCUGCCAUUCCCUUGUCAUACAUCUCAAAAUUUUAUUACUGCAAUCUUGGUUUGAAAUGUCAUUACCAAGGUUUUGCAAUUUCUGUACAAUAUGAGUAAAUCUCAUUUGCAUGGAAGAGAUGGAUUCACCAUCCUCCAUGCGAAAAAUUUCAUAUUGUUGUACAAGGGUAUUAAGUUUUGAUUAUUUAGCUUCAUUGGUUCCUUCAUGAAGGGUUUCCAACGCAUCCCACAUAGCCUUAGCGGUCUUUUGGAUUGGAGCUUCAUGAAGGGGACGUAUAAUAGAACACCUAUUAUACAACUCCUUAUGGAUCAACUCUUCUGGUAGUUAGCCAUUAAAGAAGAGACCAACCUCGAUGAUACCACUUGCUGAUCGAUAUGGCCAAUAAGGUUGCACGCUAGAGGGGGGUGAAUAGCGGUUAGAUAAAGUUUUUCGGAGUUUUAACAAAAAAGAUUUGAAUUGAUUUGACUAUUGGAAGCAAGCUUGAACAAUCACAACAAUUUGCAAAAAGAUAAAGCUAUGUGCUAAUAAGAUUCAAUAUAGAAUUGAGAGAUUCACAAAACAAAUCUUAUUACAAUUAAAAGUUAAUGGUUCUUGAACAAUUGGCAAAACUAGACAAUUUCAAAUACAUACCUAUAAGAAAAUAUAACAAGCUAUCAAUUGAUGAGUCUUUUAUUAUCUAUUUUAAUAUGUUAUUUAGUUUCGUUUUAAUUAGAUUUAAGUUUAUUUUAUAUUUAUAUUAUUUCCUUUUUGAACUAUUUUACUUUAAUUCCAUAUUGUUAUAUUUUAGGAACGAAUAUUUGAUGGAUUGAGUCUUGGAGCAAAAGAAAGGGAUUUGGAGUUGAUUCGGUACGAAAAUACGAAGAUUUGGAGACAAAAUAUAUCUCCCCAAAGUCAGAAGCUUGGCACAGCCCGUGCUAGGCUUGGCACGGCCGUGCCACACUCCAUAACUACUUUUGCUGCUUUUGCUUAGAUUUUAAGCUACUCUGUUUUAGUUUACUUGUGGAACAUUCUAGUGAUUGCUUAGAUUUUAAGUCGAAUGUAAACUUUAAAUAGAGUAGCCAUCCAUCACAAAUAUUCAUCUUUUCUUGGAAUGCAAUAUGUGACAAUUGUCUUUCUAAUAAAAGUUCAUUUUACUUUCUUGUUAUUUACUUUUAUGCUUUCUCUCUUCUUCUCCUUGUCUACGAUGAACAUUAGUGAGUAGACUUCUCUUGUCUUGGGAUUGUUGGAUAAGUCUAAUGACAUAAUCCUAAUCAAACCAAGCUUUAAACCUUAAUCUUAUGUAACCCUAAUUCCUUAUCUAAAUUCACCGCUUUAACAUGGAUCAACCAUUAUCAAACUGUGGAAACGAAAGUGGAGGGUUUGAUAAUUGUUUAUCCAUCAUCUCAAAUAUCAAUUCAUAAAACGAAAGUGGAGCUUUGAUAUUCGAACAAGUGAAUUUAGACAAAGAUUGUAAAGGCAGCGAAAUAGUCUUUACAAUCUUUGAGAGAUAUAGUUUCGAUCUUCAAGGGAACUAAUAAUGAUCAAGUCAGCGAAAUAGGCUUGGUUGUUAGAGGAACCAAAAUCUAAUAGUAAUCAAGUCAGCGAAAUAGGCUUGGUUGCUAGAGGAACAAAAGAGAAACUGUCUUGAGAAAUUAGGUCUAACAUAAGGUUAUAAGUUUAAUAGUUUGGUUUGUGAAGGACUUGUCAUUAGGAUGAACCAAUAAUUCCAAGGCUUUUAUCUUUUCUUUUAUUUUCUUUUAAUUAAAAACCCAAACUUUUCUAUCUUAUAAACCUUUAGUCUAAUCAUUAUCUAAAGUUAAUUGAAUUCAUAACUCCCUGUCGGAACGAUACUCUUUUCAUACUACUUCGGUAAGACCGUGCACUUGCAGUUUUAUCUCAUCAUCAAUCAAAAACACAAUGCAUAUGCAGUUGAAGAAUUGAAUAGUAAUUGAAACCAAUUGAUCCAAGCUAAGUACUAAAACCUAAUUCAAAGAAUUAUAUUAAUUUUUAUCAAAAACAACUUAGAUCAAUACAAGUUUGUCCCCUAACAAUUUAUCAAUUAACAUAUGCAACAAUUAAAAGUAAGGUGGGUAAGGAAGAGAGAUAACACCCAUAUUUUUAUAGUAGUUCGUUUUUCGUACUCGCUAGAGCUACGUCUACUCUUCUUUGUUAAAACUCCUCCCACAAGGUCAUCCACUAAUAGUAAAAAUGUUGAAUACAAAUGUGAUUACAAGAGUUCGUUGAAACUAAAAUAGUUCUUCAACGCCUAUGUAAACACUCUUCCAAACUUCAAAUAACCUUUGAAUUUGGUGUUCCUUGAAUCUUCGAAUCCUUAUUUACCUGUGCACCCCUUCGAACUCUUCACUCAAGUCUUCAAUACUACGUCCGGUAAACAAAUCCCCUUCGAUGGCAAGAACAAUUAGAAAGAACCCCUAAACCCUUUGGAGGUGGAAUAAGAUUAUUCAUUUCACUUUGGAACCUUGAUUAAGACCAACCAAUUUCCUUGAGAGAACCAUCUUACAAUCCAUAUAAGCACCCUAGGAAAUCAAUGUGACUCAAUGUACAAAGUGAUUAUAAGAAAAAGUGUUUAAUCUUGAAGAAUUUAUGAACAUUGAGUUUUUGAGUCCUAAAGAGAAUAGAUGUAAAUGACUCAAUAAUUUGGGAGUUAUGAGAAAGUGAGUAUAUAUAGUAAAUGAGUGUAUGUGCAAAUUUUCGUCCAAAAAUAACAAUUUGAAUCGAUUCACUAAGAGCAUGAAUCGAUUCAGAUAUUAGAAAUACAAGCUAGAAGAAUAAUGAAGAUUGAUGUGAUUCAGGCAAAAGCUGAAUCGAUUCAAAUACCCCAUGAUGAAGAUUUAUACGAUUCAGAUUAAAAUGAAUCGAUUCAAUGCAACUCAUAGAGUUUUAUGAUACGAUUCAGAUUUGAAUGACUCGAUUCAGGAGUGAACCGAUUCAGGAUAUAUUGAGUCGAUUCCCGCAAAGUCAGAGAGUUUGCGUGAUACGAUUUAGAUAGCUGUGAAUCGAUUCAUCUGUGCAGAAACAGAAUUUUGAAAGCAAAUGAAGGAAAUUUUGACACACGGGUAAAAAGAACAUUAUGCCACAGAUCACUAAGGUGCUUUAACAAGUUAUAAGUCUAGUUUACAAAGACAGAAACAAUAUGCUAGGAAAGACAAACUUGCAAUUAAAACAUCAUCAAAAUGACGGUUGGAAAAACAAGCUUCAAAUUUCACCAGCCUCAUUUAAUAUGGUCAACAUUAGUUGACUUUUUAUCUUUGCAGGAAUCGAAGUCUUUUUCUUGAACUUGAGGAGUUUUGACGAGAUGUUGGACUUAGCAUGAAAGGGGUCUAAACGCCCUUAGGUUCGACUAGACACGAGUCAGCGAUGCAAAGCUAUCGAAGUCAAGCAACUUCCGUUGAGGCGGGAAGAUUUGAAUUUCAAAGAGAAGCGGUUUCCUCAAAGGAGAACGUGGGAUAAAAACAGUUGUCUCAAUGGAAGAAGUGAUGAUUGUGGGAUUAUGCUUUUGCCGGUUAUUUUCCUAUGUAUAAAUAGUAGUUUUCCAUAGGGAAAAUGGAUCGCAAAUCACCUAUACAGAAUUCUAAAACACUCGAAGCAUUGGUGUGAGAGAAAAGAGUCACAAAGAAUAUAUUUAAAGGAUCUGCUGGACCACCUUUAUAUUUAAUGCAUUGUAUUUUAAUUUUCCUUUGAGUUUAUGCAAUUUAAACUUAAUGUCUUUACCUUGCUUUAAAAACCCUUUUUUCUUUCGAAAGACGUCACACUGUCUCGUCUUGUUCGUAAAGAAACCUAUGAACUCGACGGACACUUCAAAAACAAAUGCACAACAUGUCCUGGGAUUUUUGGUUUGAUCCUACUUGUAAUAACCAAAACAACCCUCGUUGUUUACCAAAAACACCGUAAACAAUAUCAAUCGAUAAAAUUAAUAAUCGACGUUCUCAUAAAAAAACAAUUGAUAGUAAUUUAUUUAUUUUUGGUACAAUAAACCAAACCCCGUAAUUUCAAAUUAUUUAGCACAUAAUUAAUAUAAUUUAAAGUUAUAUACAAGAUAUUAAUUAUUUUGACGAUAGUAAAUUAUCAAAUGAUUUUAUAUCAAUAAUAUUUUUUAGAGUUAAUAAGGUUUUUUUUUUGGUAGAUAGACAAAUUGGCAAAGCCAUUAUAAACUCACACACACAAGUGAAGGUACCGGGGUUCGAACCCCGGUCAUGGCAUCCGGCCUAACAAUUUCGGCAUUUUGCCAGUUGAGCUAGGACUUCUGGAUGAGUUAAUAAGGUUUUACCCCUUGUAAUAUAAGUCAUUUUCGAUUUUACACUCUGUAAAUGUUUUUUUUUAUUUACCCUGCUAAUAGGCCAUUCAAAAAUGAAAAUUUCUGAAAAAUAAAAAUAAAAAUUGGUUUUAGAAUGACCAAUUAGGGGGUAAAUGAAAAAUAUUACAGCGGGAUAAAUAAAAAAAAUUACCGGAUGUAAAACUGGAAAUAACCUAUAUUAGAGGGGGUAAAACCCUAUUAACCGUAACUUUUACAAAAAAUUAAUAAUAAAUUUUAUAGACAUAAUAUAUUUGAUAAUUACUAAUAGUUAGCAACCCCUAGAGAAAAAAAAUACUUGUAAUUAGCCAGAAGAGUUUUAUCGCUAUAGUAUAUAAACACGGAAAGCCACCAUUGAAUAAGGAUCAGGAGAGAGGGCACAAUACAUGGACAAGAGGCGAUUUAAUUCCUUUAGAAAAAAUCUUUGUAUGUGGUUAUUGUUAUAAAGGGAUGGAUUCAUCUCCGGUCCAUGUAUAUUGCUCUCUCUCUCAUGUUCCUUAUCCAAUGGUGGCUAUGAGAUCAUAAAGAAAACAUUUUAUAAUAUUACUCUAGGUGAGAGAGAGAGAGAGUCAACAAGAGAGGAUCCAGAUCCUUUUCUAAAGGAGAAUCAACCAUCUAUCGCUAACAACAAAUUAAAACCCUUCGGGUACAAAAAUAACGACUAAAGUAAAAAUAUAAAUGAAACAUUGAACUGUUUUAUGAAAUUAUAAUAAACUUCAAAGGGUAAAAUUGGUUUUUAGAUAAUCAUAAGGGAUUACCAAGCAGAGUUAUAAGUUAUAAGCUUGUGAUGAAACGACGGUUACCACUUAUAGAACUAACAUAAAAAAAUUAAUAGUGAGGGAUGUCUAAUGAAGAUUGGUAGCUAGUAGUGUUAUGUUGUUCAUGAAGUUACAGUUAUAUAUAAAUAUUGUAAGUGGGUGUUGUUUAUUGAAGAUAGGGAGAUCAAAGGGGAAAUGCUGGAAAAUGAUGAUGGAAAAAUAUAAAUCGAUAUUAUCUUUUAUAAUAGUCCUUAUGAACAUCAAAAUUAAGUUUGGUAUUUUUCAUUAUUCAUGUCGGCGAUUUUUACUAGUUUUGAUUUAAGUAAACGUUUUGAUUGACUUCAAUGACUAAAGUAACUAAGAGAAUAAAGAGUGAAGGAUUUAAUUGGCGUUUUAUUCAAGUCGUGGACCAAAAUUAAAUCAUGUUACACUUCUAAGGAGAAAAAUGGUUGUUUUUCCAAUAAUGUUUUCCAAUAUUAAAUUAAAGUUUAUUUAUGCCUUAGGGAUGUUACCAACCAAUUUGUUGGGUUGGAGUUACCUUUGGUGCUUAAGAACAUUUAGACCAAUAAAAAUAUCUUAGAGUACCUUUUAAAGUGGCAAGUACAUAUAGAGUCAUUGUCAAUUGAUGUUAGUACUAAUCAUGGACUAUUUAUUUGCAAACUUGUUUGUUUUUUAGUAGAUUUUUUUUUAAACAGCAAAUUUUAUUUAUAUGCUAACCCAACACAAGAAGUGAAGAGGCUAGAGGAAAGACACAAGAUAACAGAUACAUAAAGACAGACAACUAAACCAAAGGCCAAAAAGCCACAACACAAAACCACCCAAACAACCCUUAAUACAAUAGAAUCACAGCAGAAAAACCUUAACCAAAUCAAGCAAAUUAAAAACAAUUACUUAGUUGAUAUUUGUAUGCCUUGUCGCGUUGAUGUUUCAGAAAUGUCUAGGUGGAGGGGAAUGGUGGUGGGGGGGAAGGGGGUGAAUGUUUAUAAGGUCGAAAUUUGACUACAGGAGGACGGUAAGGGGGUAAAUGUCCUGGGAACUGGUUGGAUGGAGGUUUGAAUAUUGGAGUGAUAUGAAAGGCAGCAUCAGCAAAAUGUUGAGGACCAAACAUAAGAGCAGCAAGGAAUACCACUAGCAAGGAUAAGAAAAAGGAUUUAGCCAUUUUAAGAAGUGAUAUUAUUAUUAGUGUUGGUGCAUAAUACAUAUGGAGUUAACUGGUUUUAUACUAAUUAGAGACUCAAAGUGAGUUUAUGGUCAAUCAAAGUCAUUUACUAAAUGUCAAAAUUGUGUAUGAAUUGAAUUAUUCAACAAUGUUACAAGGUCCAUGUAUUUGCUACUACUUGAUGAUCCUUUCAUUUUCCACACAACAAGACCAUUUAGUAUUAUUGGCUUUAUCUCUCCGCUUGUUUGCACACCAUAUGGUUGCGCUCCUUAAUUCUGAAAUAUAGAAUGAUUUUAAACUCAUUUUAGAUUCUCCAAAAAUUAAAAUCUCAUUCCUACGACAACAGAAAAUGGAAGAAACACAAGAUUGUUGGUGUAUUGGUAGCUUACAGUCUGUUGGAAAAAUUCAAUAAGCUAGUUUAUAGUUUCUUUUAAAAAGUAUAUGAGUUUAUAGUUUAUUUUAUUAAUUCCUUUUUCACAAUUGCUUACCUGUAAGAUUAAAAAGUAUAUGUUUCACAAUUGCUUUUUCAUCACAGACUUAUAGUUAUUUUAUUAAUUUAUAGCUUAUUUUUUAGAAGUUAUUUCAAAUAGUGUAUGAGCUUAUAAUUUAUUAUUUUUAUUUCACGCUUACCUUUCAUCAAAUGAUGGAACCGCUUUCCGGACCCUGCGUAUACGUGAGCUUCAGUGCACCGGGUUGUCCUUUAUUUCAUGCUUACCUUUAUUAUUUUGUCUCAAAUUUAUUUUUAUCCUUUAUAAUUUGUAAUAAAGAAAAUGCUAAAAUGUUCUAAAAAAUUGAUAAUUAAGUCAUAAAAUAUUUACAUUCUAAAAAUAUUCAUUCCAACUUUGUUUAAAGAUGCAUCUUCAUCAUCAUAUUCUUGUAAAAAAAUCAAACAGUAAAUUUCAAACGGAAAUUCUUAAAAUUCUUCAAAAAUGCUUUUAUUUGUACAAUUCUAAAGAAUUUAACCACUCCUUAAAAAAAAAAUUAACCAUGUGAUGAUCAGUACAUAUCCUUUAAUUUUACACACCAUAAAAUCAUUUAGUAUUAUUGGUACUAUAACAAGGUAAUGAGUGGAAGUUAUUUGCUACUAAUAUUCUUGAAUUAAGAUUUAGAAAAACCGUACUCCAAGAGCAUGAUAAAUUUUGCAAAUCUAUUCAAAAAAGAGUAUUGACGAGUUUUACAUUUACACGCUCCUUGAACAUUCAUCAAUAUAUCAUCAACAAAACCAAUAUGUAAAUACUACUCCGUCCCUAAAUAUAUAGGAGUCUUUUGUAAAAAUUACGGAGAUUAAGAAAGUUAGUUUUAGUAUUAAAUUUGAAUAUAAUUACUAUUGUUUUUACGAUUUUAUCCUUAAGAGAGAGUUAAUUUAUGUUUUCAACAUAAUAUUUAUUUUUGAUUGAAGAAAAAGAUGCAAAAUAAAUAAAGGUAUGUUACUAAAUAAAUAAUUAAUGUACUAGGGACGGAGGUAGUAUUAGAUAAGGAACAUGAAUAUUUGGGAGGAAAAAUUCUUUGCAUAAGAGGAUCGUCUUAAACAACAAACUGAAAUUAAAAAUACUUGCAAUUGCGGAAGUCUUAAACAACAAACUGAAAUCAUAUCACGAAUAUUAUUAAGUUAUGGACCAAUUUGUAUGCAACAGUUAACCACCAACUACUGCAAGAAAAUAUCAUAUUAGCUACCAAAAUCUAGCUACGGUCUAUUGCUCUAGUUAAUUUGUCUUUAAUUAGCUUUGCUCUUACUACAAGUGAAGUUUGCUAGCUGAUGCUUACACUUGUUCGUUUUUUUUUUUUUUUUGAUUGUACCCAAAUAAAACUAUUUAGCAUCACUGCAAAUGCAUUUUUUUUCAAUUCUUUUGUUUAUGCAAUUUAGAUUCACUCUUGUGGAAUCUAUAAUGUGGACUCUAUAAUAUAUAUUGUUGAUGUUAAUAUUUUUAAAAUUUUAUUUUCAAAUGAGCGUUCAAAUAUACUGAUGCUAAAAUUUUGUAAAUUUUAAUUCUACAAAAAGCAUGCAUGAAUACUUAUGCAAAAAAAAUUACUCAUUUUUUUCUUUAUUUAUUUUGACAAAAUUUCAUUUUCCCCCAUUUAUCUUCUUUCCCACAAUUUUUUUAACACUUCCCGAAAUCUUUUUCCCACUAAUAUUUUAUUUUCCUUUUUCUUUUUACAACAAUUCAUUUCCUCAUCGAACAAAAAGGGAAAACUCAAGAUGUGAAAAAUCAAUAUGAGAAAGCCAUUUUCUCAAUGUGAGUUUAUGGUCAAUAUAAGUCAUUUACUAAAUUCAACAAUGCUACACUCAUAGGUACCAUGUAGUAUUUGCUAGUUAUUGAUGAUCAGUAGCUAUCCUUUCAUUUUCCACACAACAAGACCAUUUAGUAUUAUUGGCUUUAUCUCUCCACUUGUUUGUGCACCAUGGUUGCACUCAUUAAUUCUGAAUUAUUAUAGAAUGAUUUUAAACUCAUUUUAGGUCCUCCAAAAAUUAAAAUACUCAUUCCUACGACAACACAAAAUGCAAGAAACACAAGAUUGUUGGUGUAUUAUAAGCCUGUAAGAUUAUACCGUAUAUGUUUCACAAUUGCUUUUUCAUCACAAGUUUAUAGUUUAUUUUAUUUGAAGUUAUUACAAAUAGUGUAUGAGCUUAUAAUUUUUUUUUUUUAUUUCAUGCUUACCUUUAUUAUUUUGUUUCAAAUUUAUUUUUAUCCUUUAUAAUUUGAAAUAAAGAAAAUACUAAAAUGUUCUAAAAAAUUGAUGAUUAAGUCAUAAAAUAUUUACAUUCUAAAAAUAUUAAUUCCAACUUUGUUUAAAGAUGCAUCUUCAUCAUCAUAUUCUUGUAAAAAAAAUCAAACAGUAAAUUUUAAAUUGAAAUUCUUAAAAUUCUUCAAAAAUGCCUUUAAUUUUCCACACCACAAAACCAUUUAGUAUUAUUGGUGCUAUGAAAAGGUAAUGAGUGGAAGUUAUUUGCUACUAAUAUUCUUGAAUAGAUUUAGCAAAACCGUACUCCAAGAGCAUGAUAAAUUUUGCAGACGGUGAAAAUUUAUUGUGACAAUAAACUAUUUAAAAAAGAGUAUUGACGAGUUUAACAUUUACACUGUAUAAACCCAAAUAUGCAAAAACCCAUAUACUUCUUGAACAUAUCAAGAAAACCAAGAUGUAAAUAUUAGAUAAGGAACAUAAAUACGUCGGAUGAAAAUUUCUUUGCAUAAGUGGAUCGUAAUAAAAAUUAACAAUAAGUUCUUAAAUACAUGCUUCUGAAAGUCUGAAAUACAAUAAAUACAAUAUGCUCUUAAAUUAACAAUAUCAUAGAAAGUCUGAAACUAAAAAUUGCGGAAGUCUUAAACAACAAACUGAAAUCAUAUCAGAAAUAUUAAGUUAUGGAACCAAUUUGUAUGUAAUAGUGAACCACCAACCAUUACAAGAAAAUAUCAUAUUAGCUACCAAAAUCUAGCUACGGUCUAUUGCUCUAGUUAAUUUGUCUUUAAUUAACUUUGCUCUUACUGCAAGUGCAAUUUGACUGGCUGAUGCUUACACUUGUUCGUUAUUGUAUAAAAAAAUUAAAACAAAUUGUAAUGUCUUCUGAUGCCUUUUGGAUCUUCAUUGAUGGUAUUUCCUAGUUCUUCACAAGUCUUUAAGAUGUUCUGCUUUGCGUAUUUGCAUAAUUUCUUCUUGAAUUAUAUAAAAACUAGAAUUACAUGAGUCAAACAGAAAACAUUACAAAUAUCCCAAAAACCAUAGGAAAUUGUUCUAAUACUCCAUUCUGGAUUAAAACUAAUUGAAAAUGACUGGAAAAACAUGCCAAGAAUAACGUAAGAUGAUAUGUUAUCACAACCUCAAACUUAAACUGUUGUUUGUCGGCAAGUAACGAACGAAAAUAAAUUUUAAUUUUGCAUAUUUUUCAAGAAAAACAUAUCUUUUCAAAGAGGUUGCUCAGAUCGUCUUCUCGUCUCAUUUACAGACUUGACUAACUUACACCUUCCAUGAAAGCGCGACAGAAUUAGAGAAUAUAGCCCAUACUCUCAACCACACUCUUAUCCAUGAUACAUGCAUGUAUCACACAAACUCGGUAGGGUUGGUCACGAUAUUUGUCCACUCUAGUCGUCACAUGAAUGUAUCUUGAUGUAAAUUUGAGAGAACUCUAAACAGACAGUCAAGAUCAUACUAUAUACAAAGUAUUAGUUCUUUCAAGGUUAUAACGUAUCUUAGGUUAAGGUGAGAUAUAUUAGAAAAGUAGGCUAACAAAACAACUUGAAGUUAGAUUAUCAACCUGAGGUUUCCUACUAAACAUUGAAGUACUACUAACAUUCCUUCCUUAAACCAAACAAGAUGGGUAUUAAAUAGAACUAUUUAUCUUUUCCUACAUUUGUUUUAAAAGACCAAAAUAUUUGAUGUUUUUAGCUCUUGAUUUUUUCUUUUUUCUAUUUUUUUAUGUAGACCCAUGGUUAUCAACAUUUUUUCAUUUUUUUUCUUUGUGAUAUAAAUAAGUUCUCUGGUAGCCCUUCCUCAAAAAGAAAUCCAAGUUUAGUUUCAAAUCAUACCAAAUUAUUAAAAAUAUUAUAUCUAACUCCAAGAGAAAUCAAAUAGAUGACUUUAAGGAUCAAAACACCCACAACGAGCCGGUAAUAACACAACGCCUAAAACUGAAAAAAAACAAUGCGUCGAAACUCGUUAAGACAACCGUUAGUCUAAUUGGCUAUAUAAGCCUUAAGGUACUAUUAGACAUAACAAUUCUUUCUUAAUAAAUAUUAUUUUCAUUUCACUUUUUCUAUAUUUUGUUUUCAUUUAUGAGUUCCAUCAAGAAUUGUGAUAAUGUGUCACUUGAAAAAAAGAUAGACUAAUGUCACUUAUGAGUUCUAUCAUGAAUUGUAAUAAUGUGUCACUUUUAUAUACAUAUGUUUCAGUAUGGACGGACUGAAGUCAAACACACGUUAGUACUUAGCCAAAAAGCUCGACAAAGUUUCUGGUAACAUAUUUAAUUAAAAUUCAAUAUAAAUAAAAGUGUGAAAAAGCUACUCAACCGUACAAGUUGCCUUUGCAUCCCAGUGCAACUGACACAAAUGUGGUAGCCUCGGUUAGGCUACUAAUACAAUGUGUUAGUUUACAUCAAAAUAUAUAUUCUUUUUAUCAGCAAAUAAAAUUAACAACAGUCCGAGCGCAAUAACCCGAAAGACUUACAGGUACGAGUGAGAAGGAAAAGCAUGCAGAAAACGACUUCUAUUAGUUCGACAGUUUCGUCAAAGGGUGCAGUGAAUGAAUUUGUAUGAGAUGAUGGGUUAGGGUUCUAUUGAGAAGAAUUUCUGGGUGGAGAUGAGAGGGUUCAGUGAGAAGUUGAGAUGAUGGCAUAUGGUUUGAAGGGUUCGGAGUAGAGAAGUUAAAAUUUGAAGGAUCUGUGGGUAGAUGUUUGAGAGGUUUAGGUUCGAUGAAGUGAUUUUGGUAGAAGUUGUGUUUUGGGUGCAGAAAAGAGGAGAGGGAAUGAACAAUUACUUCAGCGCCAGACGCAAAAUUUUGCGGUUUAUUUUUUUUUUUUUUAUUUAACUUUUUUUUUUUUUAAUUUGGUAUGCCGUAUGUGCAAAGAUAGCCCUUCCCCAUUAAACGCUAACAAAUCAUUUACACCAAUAUUAGCGUUCACUAGAAAACGCUAUCACACUCUUAUCAUCACACACCUUUUUUUUUUAUAAUUUUUUUUAAUACCAUAUAAUAGCACUUUCUAUAAAAGGGCUAAUAUAGGUGUCACGUUAUAAUAGCAUGCGUAACGGAAGUGCUAUUAUUAAUAUUAGAGUCAAUCUUUUCAUAGCAUUUUCUCUAAAAGUGCUAUUAAAUUAGCGUUUCCGUUAUAAUAGUCCUUAUGAACAUCAAAUUAAGUUUGGUAUUUUUCAUUAUUCAUGUCGGCGAUUUUUACUAGUUUUGAUUUAAGUAAACGUUUUGAUUGACUUUAAUGACUAAAGUAACUAAGAGAAUAAAGAGUGAAGGAUUUAAUUGGCGUUUUAUUCAAGUCGUGGACCAAAAUUAAAUCUUGUUACACUUUUAAGGAGAAAAAUGGUUGUUUUUCCAAUAAUGUUUUCCAAUAUUAAAUUACAGUUGUUUUAUGCCUUAGGGAUGUUACACUUAAUUGAUAACUUAAAUAAGGUUUUUGGAGGUAAAUAAGAAAGAUGCAAAACCUCCAGCCAAGCCAAAACAACCCCGUUUCGAUUUGUGAACUUGACCAUAAUAUAUUAUACACAAGAUAUAUAAAAACAAAGCAUUGGUAACUAGUAGAUUUUUUUUUUUUAACAGCAAAGUUUAUUUAUAUGCUAACCCAACACAAGAAGUGAAGAGGCUAGAGGAAAGACGCAAGAUAAGAGAUACAUAAAGACAGACAACUAAACCAAGGCCAAAAAGGCACAACACAAACCACCUAAACAACCCUUAAUACAAUAGAAUCACAGCAGAAAAACCUUAACCAAAUCAAGCAAAAACAAUUGCUUAGUUGAUAUUGGUAUGCCUUGUCGCAUUGAUGUUUCAGAAAUGUCUAGGUGGAGGGGAAUGUUGUCUUAUAUGUGGUAAUACAGGUGGUAAUCCAUGUGGUAAACCCCUUACGAAUGGAGUCAAAUUGGUAAAUUUUUGUUCUGGGAUAGUAAUUGGAGGGAGAUUGCAAAAUGUUGAGGAGAAAACAUAAGAGCAGCAAGGAAUAACACUAAUAAGGAUAAGAAAAAGGAUUUAGCCAUUUUAAGAAGUGAUAUUAUUAUUGUGUUGGUGCAUAAUACAUAUGGAAUUAACUGGUUUUAUACUAAUUAGAGACUCAAUGUGAGUUUAUGGUCAAUCUAAGUUAUUUACUAAAUGUCAAAAUUAUGUAUGAAUUGAAUUAUUCAACAAUGUUACAACUUCCAUGUAUUUGCUACUAGUUGAUGAUCAUUAACUAUCCUUAAUUUCAUUUUCCAUACAGCAAGACCAUUUAGUAUUAUUGGCUCUAUCUUUCCACUAAUAG